This 862-nucleotide ribosomal RNA is filed under the name Gammarus sp. 2125. Its description in RNAcentral is "partial 16S ribosomal RNA". The record is from RNAcentral. Lineage: Eukaryota; Metazoa; Arthropoda; Malacostraca; Amphipoda; Gammaridae.
AAGAUAAAGAAGGUUUUAAGGCUGUACCUUUUGUAUCAGGGAGAUCUAAAAGUGCAAAGAUGAAAUAAUCGAUUUAACGGGAUUUUUUAAAUAUUGACUGAAAGUUAAAUUAUUCAGUAUUAGUGUGUAUGAGGUGAAAUGUGUGCGACUGUUAGAGUAUCUAAUUAAUUUUAUGCGUGAAAGUUUAAGUUUUUGUAGAUCUAUAUAGACUAUUUUUUAUGAAAACUAGGGUUUAAAUUAUCUAAGUUAGUAUAUUGUUAUAUAAAAUUUUAAUUAUGUGCGGUUAGUAAAGUAGAAUUAGUAAAUUAAUUUGUGAUUUUUUUGUCUUAAGGUAAUAAUGGGUUUAUUGAGUAUAGUUUGGGGGUUUAAAAAAACUAAAAGUUGGUCUGAUAGUUUACCAAAAACAUCUCUAUUAGGUUAAAAGAAAGUAAAGCCUGCCCGGUGAAAAUAUGUUUAACGGCUGCGGUAUUUUGACUGUGCUAAGGUAGCAUAAUCAAUUGUUUUUUAAUUAAAAACUGGAAUGAAGGGUUAAACAGACUAAGAUAGUUUGUGUAGUCUAAUUAGUAAAUUAAAGUUAAGGUAAGAAUUCUUUGAUUUUCUAGGGGACGAUAAGACCCUAGAAGCUUUAAAAAAGAAAAAUUUUUAGUUAGGGCAUGUAUUUUUUACUGGGGCGGUACUAGUGUUUUAACUAUUAGCUAUACAGGUUGAUCUUUAAUAUAAAGAUAGUUCGGUUAAGUUACUCUAGGGAUAACAGUGCAGUAUUUUUGGAAAGGUCUUAUUGAUAAAAAUGUUCGCAACCUCGAUGUUGAAUUAAGAUAUCUAUAUGUAGAAGCAGACAUAGUAGAAGGUUUGUUCAACCUUU